RNAcentral lists this unclassified non-coding RNA (329 nucleotides) under Hevea brasiliensis (rubber tree). The record is from RNAcentral. Lineage: Eukaryota; Viridiplantae; Streptophyta; Magnoliopsida; Malpighiales; Euphorbiaceae.
GCCAAUAACAUAAUUACCUCUCUGCAUGUUUGAUUGCCAUUGACAAUGUUUUCUACCUUGAACCUUUAAACCAAAGAAAAGAGCACCCACAGAAAAUCAGUUUCUCAACUAGAGAUUCUUCCUCAAUCGAUAGCAAGCAAAUAUUAAGGAAGCAAAGCAGGAUCAAGUUCCCAACAGUCUUUCAAAAGAGCAGGGACUCAUCUCCAGAAAGCUUCCUUGCAGGAACCUGAUGUGAAAGCAGCCGGACAUCAUCUUUUUCAAGCCAUCUAAUAGCAUGACAUCCAACUUCCCGUCUCUUAAAUACAGUAUUGAAUCCGUCAACUUUCUCA